RNAcentral lists this ribosomal RNA (525 nucleotides) under Bifidobacterium dentium. Its description in RNAcentral is "bacterial SSU rRNA". It matches the Rfam family "Bacterial small subunit ribosomal RNA", at positions 166 to 702 of the family's 1533-position model. The record is from RNAcentral. Lineage: Bacteria; Bacillati; Actinomycetota; Actinomycetes; Bifidobacteriales; Bifidobacteriaceae.
AUGCCGGAUGCUCCGGUUGGAUGCAUGUCCUUCCGGGAAAGAUCCGUCGGUAUGGGAUGGGGUCGCGUCCUAUCAGCUUGAUGGCGGGGUAACGGCCCACCAUGGCUUCGACGGGUAGCCGGCCUGAGAGGGCGACCGGCCACAUUGGGACUGAGAUACGGCCCAGACUCCUACGGGAGGCAGCAGUGGGGAAUAUUGCACAAUGGGCGCAAGCCUGAUGCAGCGACGCCGCGUGCGGGAUGGAGGCCUUCGGGUUGUAAACCGCUUUUGAUCGGGAGCAAGCCCUUCGGGGUGAGUGUACCUUUCGAAUAAGCACCGGCUAACUACGUGCCAGCAGCCGCGGUAAUACGUAGGGUGCAAGCGUUAUCCGGAAUUAUUGGGCGUAAAGGGCUCGUAGGCGGUUCGUCGCGUCCGGUGUGAAAGCCCAUCGCUUAACGGUGGGUCUGCGCCGGGUACGGGCGGGCUGGAGUGCGGUAGGGGAGACUGGAAUUCCCGGUGUAACGGUGGAAUGUGUAGAUAUCGGGA